UGAAAAGUCGCUAAAUAUAGCGACAAAGUCGCUAAGUUGGCAACACUGCCUCAACCUGAUUAGUGGAACAACAUCACGUGACACAAUGACGCCGACGUUCGAUUCUACAAUUCCCGGAGUCGAUUCUAAUUGUGACUCAUUUCAGAUGUUGCAUCCAAUUACCUGAUUGCAUCAUGUUUCCUCUCCACCAAUGCUGAUCCCUGCUCUGAUUGAGGAGAACGAAGCUAACCCACGCCCCCUCCAACACGUGGGCAGCAUGCCGUAUGAAUCUUAUCACCUACACUUUGACGAGUGCAGUGCAGCUUAGCGUUGUGUACGCAGAGACACACCCCAAGAGCACUCUUUUCUCAUCUCUGUGCAGGCGCCACCAAUCAGCCAGCAGAGGUCGUAAUUGCACCAGUCAUAAGAGAGAGAGACCCUAUUCGGCUUAGUCCCGCCCAUCAGAACAACAGGCCGCUCAGCCUUAGCCGAGUCUUGUUCAUAUUUCUAAGUACAAGGUUAAAAGAUGCCGUGUGUAAAUGUCUUUUAAACAAUAAAAAUGUGACAUGGGAA
Long non-coding RNA from Trichomycterus rosablanca, 552 nucleotides. RefSeq lists it as uncharacterized. Lineage: Eukaryota; Metazoa; Chordata; Actinopteri; Siluriformes; Trichomycteridae. The transcript is spliced from 2 exons. The record is from RefSeq and is a predicted model, not a curated record.